GAUGAACGCUGGCGGCGUGCCUAAUACAUGCAAGUCGAGCGAACAGACGAGGCGCUUGCUCCUCUGACGUUAGCGGCGGACGGGUGAGUAACACGUGGAUAACCUACCUAUAAGACUGGGAUAACUUCGGGAAACCGGAGCUAAUACCGUAUAAUAUAUUGAUCCGCAUGGUUCAAUAGUGAAAGACGGUUUUGCUGUCACUUAUAGAUGGAUCCGCGCCGCAUUAGCUAGUUGGUAAGGUAACGGCUUACCAAGGCGACGAUGCGUAGCCGACCUGAGAGGGUGAUCGGCCACACUGGAACUGAGACACGGUCAAGACUACUACGGGAGGCAGCAGUAGGGAAUCGUACGCAAUGGGCGAAAGCCUGACGGAGCAACGCCGCGUGAGUGAUGAAGGUCUUCGGAGCGUAAAACUCUGUUAUUAGGGAAGAACAAAUGUGUAAGUAACUAUGCACGUCUUGACGGUACCUAAUCAGAAAGCCACGGCUAACUACGUG
Molecule: ribosomal RNA, 497 nt
Filed under: uncultured bacterium
Lineage: Bacteria
Description: partial 16S ribosomal RNA
Rfam family: Bacterial small subunit ribosomal RNA
Source: RNAcentral